AACGAACGCUGGCGGCAGGCCUAACACAUGCAAGUCGAACGCCCUAGCAAUAGGGAGUGGCAGACGGGUGAGUAACACGUGGGAACGUGCCCUUCGGUUCGGAAUAACUCAGGGAAACUUGAGCUAAUACCGGCUACGUGCGAGAGCAGAAAGAUUUAUCGCCGGAGGAUCGGCCCGCGUCCGAUUAGCUAGUUGGUGAGGUAAUGGCUCACCAAGGCGACGAUCGGUAGCUGGUCUGAGAGGAUGACCAGCCACACUGGGACUGAGACACGGCCCAGACUCCUACGGGAGGCAGCAGUGGGGAAUAUUGGACAAUGGGCGCAAGCCUGAUCCAGCCAUGCCGCGUGAGUGAUGAAGGCCCUAGGGUUGUAAAGCUCUUUCGCCAGGGACGAUAAUGACGGUACCUGGAUAAGAAGCCCCGGCUAACUUCGUGCCAGCCGCCGCAGUAA
This 449-nucleotide ribosomal RNA is filed under the name uncultured bacterium. Its description in RNAcentral is "partial 16S ribosomal RNA". It matches the Rfam family "Bacterial small subunit ribosomal RNA", at positions 29 to 523 of the family's 1533-position model. The record is from RNAcentral.